GACGAACGCUGGCGGCGUGCUUAACACAUGCAAGUCGGACGGAAAGGCCCCUUUGGGGGUACUCGAGUGGCGCACGGGUGAGUAACACGUGAGUAACCUGCCCUUGACUUCGGGAUAACUUCAGGAAACUGGGGCUAAUACCGGAUAGGAAUCCUUGCUGCAUGGUGGGGGUUGGAAAGCUUCGGCGGUUUUGGAUGGACUCGCGGCUUAUCAGCUUGUUGGUGGGGUAGUGGCUUACCAAGGCUUUGACGGGUAGCCGGCCUGAGAGGGCGACCGGCCACAUUGGGACUGAGAUACGGCCCAGACUCCUACGGGAGGCAGCAGUGGGGAAUAUUGCACAAUGGGCGGAAGCCUGAUGCAGCAACGCCGCGUGCGGGAUGACGGCCUUCGGGUUGUAAACCGCUUUCAGCAGGGGCGAAGCUUGUGGUGACGGUACCUGCAGAAGAAGCACCGGCUAACUACGUG
RNAcentral lists this ribosomal RNA (465 nucleotides) under uncultured bacterium. RNAcentral's name for it is "partial 16S ribosomal RNA". It matches the Rfam family "Bacterial small subunit ribosomal RNA", at positions 28 to 507 of the family's 1533-position model. The record is from RNAcentral.